UCGGAAGUCAUUUCUACUUUCGGUUAUCUAGCUUUAUGAUGGCUUGAUAACACUCAUACAGCUAGAUAACCAAAGACAGAAACGGCCCUCCUGCU
RNAcentral lists this microRNA precursor (95 nucleotides) under Ophiophagus hannah (king cobra). Its description in RNAcentral is "microRNA oha-mir-9 precursor (oha-mir-9-1)". Its record names the gene oha-mir-9-1. The stretch from base 8 to 85 matches the Rfam family "mir-9/mir-79 microRNA precursor family". From Rfam's summary of the family: The mature ~21nt miRNAs are processed from hairpin precursor sequences represented here. miR-9 is processed from the 5' arm of its precursor, and miR-79 from the 3' arm. The bounds of the precursors are predicted based on conservation and base pairing and are not generally known. The record is from miRBase by way of RNAcentral. Lineage: Eukaryota; Metazoa; Chordata; Lepidosauria; Squamata; Elapidae.